GACGAACGCUGGCGGCGUGCCUAAUACAUGCCAGUUGAGCGCUGAAGGUUGGUACUUGUACCAACUGGAUGAGCAGCGAACGGGUGAGUAACGCGUGGGGAAUCUGCCUUUGAGCGGGGGACAACAUUUGGAAACGAAUGCUAAUACCGCAUAAAAACUUUAAAUACAAGUUUUAAGUUUGAAAGAUGCAAUUGCAUCACUCAAAGAUGAUCCCGCGUUGUAUUAGCUAGUUGGUGAGGUAAAGGCUCACCAAGGCGAUGAUACAUAGCCGACCUGAGAGGGUGAUCGGCCACAUUGGGACUGAGACACGGCCCAAACUCCUACGGGAGGCAGCAGUAGGGAAUCUUCGGCAAUGGACGAAAGUCUGACCGAGCAACGCCGCGUGAGUGAAGAAGGUUUUCGGAUCGUAAAACUCUGUUGGUAGAGAAGAACGUUGGUGAGAGUGGAAAGCUCAUCAAGUGACGGUAACUACCCAGAAAGGGACGGCUAACUACGUG
This 497-nucleotide ribosomal RNA is filed under the name uncultured bacterium. Its description in RNAcentral is "partial 16S ribosomal RNA". It matches the Rfam family "Bacterial small subunit ribosomal RNA", at positions 28 to 507 of the family's 1533-position model. The record is from RNAcentral.